This 164-nucleotide small nuclear RNA is filed under the name Nomascus leucogenys (northern white-cheeked gibbon). Its description in RNAcentral is "U1 spliceosomal RNA (ENSNLEG00000035362.1)". Lineage: Eukaryota; Metazoa; Chordata; Mammalia; Primates; Hylobatidae. The record is from RNAcentral.
AUACUUACCUGGCAAGGGAGAUACCAUGAUCACCAAGAAUGUUCUCUAUAAAACUGAUAGCAAUAGUAAUGGUGAAUGGUAAGCUAAUUUGCAAUUCUAAAAACAUGAGUUAAAAAAUGGCUCAAAGUUGGCUGGGUGCGGUGGUUCACACCUGUAAUCCCAGC